This 253-nucleotide ribosomal RNA is filed under the name uncultured bacterium. RNAcentral describes it as "partial 16S ribosomal RNA". It matches the Rfam family "Bacterial small subunit ribosomal RNA", at positions 524 to 776 of the family's 1533-position model. The record is from RNAcentral.
UACAGAGGGUGCAAGCGUUAAUCGGAAUUACUGGGCGUAAAGCGCGCGUAGGCGGCUUUGUAAGUUAGAGGUGAAAGCCCGGGGCUCAACCCCGGAACUGCCUUUAAAACUGCAUCGCUUGAAUCCGGGAGAGGUGAGUGGAAUUCCGAGUGUAGAGGUGAAAUUCGUAGAUAUUCGGAAGAACACCAGUGGCGAAGGCGGCUCACUGGACCGGCAUUGACGCUGAGGUGCGAAAGCGUGGGGAGCAAACAGG